GGCCUGAUAUAUAGGCCUCAGUUGGUUAGAGCAGGGGACUCAUAAUCCCUUGGUCGCAGGUUCGAGUCCUGCUGGGCCCACCA
RNAcentral lists this transfer RNA (83 nucleotides) under Oceanospirillales bacterium TMED59. RNAcentral describes it as "tRNA-Met". The stretch from base 10 to 74 matches the Rfam family "tRNA", at positions 6 to 65 of the family's 71-position model. From Rfam's summary of the family: Transfer RNA (tRNA) molecules are approximately 80 nucleotides in length. Their secondary structure includes four short double-helical elements and three loops (D, anti-codon, and T loops). Lineage: Bacteria; Pseudomonadati; Pseudomonadota; Gammaproteobacteria; Oceanospirillales. The record is from RNAcentral.